This 660-nucleotide long non-coding RNA is filed under the name Gopherus agassizii (Agassiz's desert tortoise). RNAcentral's name for it is "lncRNA (ENSGAGG00000016124.1)". The record is from RNAcentral. Lineage: Eukaryota; Metazoa; Chordata; Testudines; Testudinidae.
GUGUUUCCAACUUCCUUCCUUUAAAAUAUUCCCUUGGAUAACAUAGCUCUUUCUUUUCCAUAGGCACAAGCUCUGUUCCUCAUCAGAUGGAGCCAGAAACAGAUGCUCAGGAAGAAAAACAACACUGGAAAAGAGAGGAUAACUUCGAAGGCCCUUCCUCUUCUUUUAAGAAGCUAUGUCCUGCCAAACCUUCUCCCAGCUUUCUUGAGCUUCCAUCUUCCCAACGGAGGCCCAGUCCAGGUCUACUCUGUGCCCAGGCUUCAAGGAAAGGACAGAAAAAAUUCACCCCUGAUCAUCAGCCACAGGAAUGCUACGGCCUACUGGAGUGCAUGCACAACAACAUCCAGAUCCAAACCCAGAUCGCUCUGACACAGCUGAGCAUCCUGGAAGGCUUGCAGGAAUCCAUGAACUUGCUUCUGGCUAGCGAUGAGGAGAAGAGGAAGGAGCAGAGAGACCAGGAGGGCCUGCAAAGCUCAGUCUCCUCCCCCACCUAACAUAGCCAUAGGUUUGGUGACUAGCUUUGAUUCCCAUAGUCUCAUCUCUGUGGCCUCGUCUCCUUUGCGUUCACUCUGGCGCUGGCUAUCAAGUGUAUAGCUACAGGAUUGGGGUUUGUGUUACCAUGACAACUGAUAGGGCUCUGCUAGAGGUGCUGCUUGGAAG